This 563-nucleotide long non-coding RNA is filed under the name Brachypodium distachyon (stiff brome). RNAcentral describes it as "long non-coding RNA (BDIS_LNC004296)". The record is from RNAcentral. Lineage: Eukaryota; Viridiplantae; Streptophyta; Magnoliopsida; Poales; Poaceae.
GGGGCCAGACGUGCUGCGGUCCGAUUCCUGCAACGAAGGUUGGGCUUGCGGUGGUGCUAGCGCGCAGUCCUCGUGUUUAGACAAAGAAUUACAAGAAGUUCUCCUGUGAUACAAAUAAAAUCGAAGAGAAAAUUACGCAAAACCACCACCUUUGAGGCACAUCUCUAGAAAAGCCACCUUUUUUUAUUUUUUUCAAAUCACCACCACUUUUGUGGUCCGCUGUACUCCCACGCACUGAUUUCGUUGUUGAUCGUGUUUUGACGGUAUUAACAGUGGGCCCCACCUGUCGGUGCCACCGUGGCGCCAUGCUGUACAAACCGUCCGAGCUGUCCUAACCAGAAUGCACCAAAGAUGCUCGUUGGACCUGGGUUCUGUCUCGAAGAAGACGAAGGCAUCCGCCCUCGCUGCGGUUCUCGCCGCCUCACAACCAGAUCCCAAGCCUAUGCCGGUGUAGGCUGCCACCGUCGGCCACCCAUAGCCCCAUGCGAACCAUGGCAUCCGGCACCUGGUCAUAGAAGAACUCGAGCUGGCCGACGAAGGUGAACACCUCGCCGGCGCUGAUG